UACGGAGGGUGCAAGCGUUGUUCGGAAUCACUGGGCGUAAAGCGCGCGCAGGCGGCAUCGUAAGUCGGGUGUGAAAUCCCUGGGCUUAACCCAGGACGUGCGCCUGAUACUGCGAUGCUAGAGUCUGGGAGAGGGAUGUGGAAUUCCUGGUGUAGAGGUGAAAUUCGUAGAGAUCAGGAGGAACACUCGUGGCGAAGGCGACAUCCUGGACCAAGACUGACGCUGAGGCGCGAAAGCGUGGGGAGCAAACAGGAUUAGAUACCCUGGUAGUCCACGCCAUAAACGAUGGAUACUGGGUGCUGCGGGUCUUGACCCCUGCGGUGCCACAAGCCAACGCGUUAAGUAUCCCGCCUGGGAAGUACGGCCGCAAGGUUAAA
RNAcentral lists this ribosomal RNA (377 nucleotides) under uncultured bacterium. Its description in RNAcentral is "bacterial SSU rRNA". It matches the Rfam family "Bacterial small subunit ribosomal RNA", at positions 524 to 898 of the family's 1533-position model. The record is from RNAcentral.